RNAcentral lists this ribosomal RNA (517 nucleotides) under Rissoina fasciata. RNAcentral describes it as "partial 16S ribosomal RNA". It matches the Rfam family "Bacterial large subunit ribosomal RNA", at positions 1811 to 2608 of the family's 2925-position model. The record is from RNAcentral. Lineage: Eukaryota; Metazoa; Mollusca; Gastropoda; Littorinimorpha; Hydrobiidae.
AAACAUGGUUCCUUGAAUAGAUAAGGAAUCGGGCCUGCCCAGUGGAAAAAUCUUAACGGCCGCAGUAUCCUGACUGUGCAAAGGUAGCAUAAUAAUUUGCCUCUUAAUUAGAGGCUAGUAUGAAUGGUUUGACAAGGAUAUAACUGUCUCUAAAAAAUUUAUUAUAAAUUAGUUUUUAGGUGAAGAAACCUAAAUAUAAUUAAAAGACAAGAAGACCCUGUCGAGCUUAAUAUAAAUGUAGAGGUAUAUAGUAUAUUUAUAAAUAAAUUACAUUACAGAGUUUUGGUUGGGGCAACCUAGGAAUAAGAAGAACUUCCUAUAUAAUUUCUAGUUAACAAAUAUUGAUCCACAGAAGUGAUUUAAGGAAUAAGCUACCGCAGGGAUAACAGCGUAAUUUUCUUUAAGAGUUCUAAUCGAAAAGAGAGUUUGCGACCUCGAUGUUGGACUAAAGUAUCCUAAAGAUGCAGAAGUCUUUAAAGGUAAGUCUGUUCGACUAUUAAAACUUUACAUGAUCUGA